CCACAACUAAACGGCGCCUACAGCUUCUGCCUUCUGGUACAUCGAAAACUUCUGUCGUCAACAUGAGAGCUAAGUGGAAGAAGAAGAGAAUGAGGAGAUUGAAGAGGAAGCGCCGAAAGAUGAGACAGAGAUCUAAGUAACUGUCUUAUGUUGCCGUUUUGGCAGGUUUUUGAGUUAUCAGGUUUUGUUGGAACAAUUGUCUGUCAUUUUGUUUUCGGAUAUUAUGAAUUAUGAUCCUUUAAUUUACAAUUUUAAUUUACUUUU
This 264-nucleotide long non-coding RNA is filed under the name Helianthus annuus (common sunflower). Its description in RNAcentral is "hypothetical non coding rna". Lineage: Eukaryota; Viridiplantae; Streptophyta; Magnoliopsida; Asterales; Asteraceae. The record is from RNAcentral.